Molecule: ribosomal RNA, 305 nt
Filed under: uncultured bacterium
Lineage: Bacteria
Description: bacterial SSU rRNA
Rfam family: Bacterial small subunit ribosomal RNA
Source: RNAcentral
GCCUACGGGGGGCAGCAGUGAGGAAUAUUGGUCAAUGGGCGAGAGCCUGAACCAGCCAAGUCGCGUGAAGGAUGACGGCCCUACGGGUUGUAAACUUCUUUUGUCAGGGAGCAAUUGAGUCCACGUGUGGUCUUAGCGAGAGUACCUGAAGAAAAAGCAUCGGCUAACUCCGUGCCAGCAGCCGCGGUAAUACGUAUGGAGCAAGCGUUAUCCGGAUUUACUGGGUGUAAAGGGAGCGCAGACGGCAGGGCAAGUCUGAUGUGAAAGUCCGGGGCUCAACCCCGGGACUGCAUUGGAAACUGUCC